UGCAGUGGGUUGCCAUGCCCUCCUCCAGGGGAAUCUUGCCAACCCAGGGAUCAAACACACGUCUCUCAUACCUCCUGCAUGGGCAGGUGGGUUCUUUACCACUAGCGCCACCUGGGAAGCCCGCCUGUGAUCUCCUGAGCAGUUGGUUUUCACCACAACGCACCCGAUUUUGUUCCGGGGAACGCCAGGUCGGUCUCGGAGCUGGCUGCGCCUCGGAGGUGAUGUGCGUGAACGCAUCGCUAGGUGGUGACAGAGCAUCGCUACCAGCCCUUCACUCUCAGAGCGCGAGGAAGAGAACCGAGUUCACGCCCCGGGAAAUCACUACCAACUCUCCUCCUAUAUCACAAGUCACUGAACCUCCUGUCACGUGGCAAAGCAGGCCAGGGCAACAGGCCUCUACCGGUCUCUUCCAGUUGAUGAUUUAUUGAUUUUGUUGGCUGGCAUUUUCACUUAAUCCUUGGUUUGAUUUAACUGAGCUGCGGGAGUUUGUUUGUUUGUUUGUUUUAGUUGGUCAGUCUUGCUAGAAUUCUACCCAAAGAAAAAUAAACCUUGUUUAUUAUCGCC
This is a long non-coding RNA of Bubalus bubalis (water buffalo), 564 nucleotides long. RefSeq lists it as uncharacterized. The transcript has 2 exons. Lineage: Eukaryota; Metazoa; Chordata; Mammalia; Artiodactyla; Bovidae. The record is from RefSeq and is a predicted model, not a curated record.